UACGUAGGUGGCAAGCGUUGUUCGGAAUCAUUGGGCGUAAAGGGCGCGUAGGUGGUUCUGUAUGUCUACCGUGAAAGCGUACGGCUCAACUGUAUUUUGUCGGUAGAAACUGCAGGACUUGAGGCUGGGAGGGGCUGGUGGAAUUCCCUGUGUAGCGGUGAAAUGCGUAGAGAUGGGGGAGAACACUCGUGGCGAAGGCGGCCAGCUAGACCAGUUCUGACACUGAGGCGCGACAGCGUGGGGAGCAAACAGG
This 253-nucleotide ribosomal RNA is filed under the name uncultured bacterium. Its description in RNAcentral is "partial 16S ribosomal RNA". It matches the Rfam family "Bacterial small subunit ribosomal RNA", at positions 524 to 776 of the family's 1533-position model. The record is from RNAcentral.